UGCGUAGGCGGGCUAAUAAGUCAGUGGUGAAAUCUUCCGGCUCAACCGGGAAACUGCCAUUGAUACUGUUAGUCUUGAGUUCGGUUGAGGUAGGCGGAAUGUGUAAUGUAGCGGUGAAAUGCUUAGAUAUUACACAGAACACCAAUUGCGUAGGCAGCUUACUAGACCGACACUGACGCUGAGGCACGAAAGCGUGGGUAGCGAACAGGAUUAGAUACCCUGGUAGUCC
Molecule: ribosomal RNA, 229 nt
Filed under: uncultured bacterium
Lineage: Bacteria
Description: partial 16S ribosomal RNA
Rfam family: Bacterial small subunit ribosomal RNA
Source: RNAcentral